AUAGACGAAAACCCUACAUGAGAAACCUACAUUGUUUCGAAUAUUGACAAAUGAAUCAAGAAAAUCGUUUUUCUUCCGUUAUAUAGUAUAAAUUAACCGUAGAUGUCUGCGGAUUUUACAUAAAGAGAGUUUUAUCUGACUGGUUGCUACGAUGUAAAAUUUCCGGUUUUGUAAUUGACACAUUUGUUUGGUAAAACGCUUUUAUUUCCGCUAUUAAGUAAGCAACUGAGUGUUAAUUGGAUCGUUAUUUGUACGAGGUAAGUGUUAUCUAUUGCUUUACAUGUCUACCUAAUUUUGAUAAUAAACUAUUCGUUUGAAUAGCUUUAAUUUAAUUGACCCGGAAGUAAUUGUGGGUUGUGGGAAUCAGUGUUGACAGUUUAACUUAGCAACUGAAAAUGUCGGCAGGUUAAUACAAAUGUUUUUAUGAAAAUCAUUAAAAAUGAGCCAGUUUACAUCAUCCCAGGCAUCAACUAUUCCCUACAUGCUAGAUUCAUCACAGAAUGACCCUGAAUUUAUUAAUGAACUAAAGGAAGUUGAUCAACUGUAUUUCCAGGAAAAUGUUUCUUCACAUUCCCCUCCCAUUGUUGAAAGGUCCCUUCUCGCCACUCUUAUUAAUAGUGAUGAGUGUGACAGCUUUGAUGGUGUAUUUGAUAACAAUGAAAUUGUUGGUGAUGAAUGUCCAACUAAUUCUUUUGUUGAAUGCAUGGAAGAAAUGAGGACAAUGAAGAGUUAGAAAUUAUCAAUAGAAUGCGCCAAGACUCUUGUCAAUGUAUGUCAAUUAAUCGCAAACCUUGUUCGAUGGUGGUGGACUUUGACAGUUUAGUUUCUUACAGAAAUUCAUGUUUAGAAAUGAGUAGAAGUGAGCGGGAAUUAGUGAUCAAGAGCAGCUUAUUUGCACACCGGGUUAAUACUUCACAGACCUCAACAAACAGAAAAAAGGAAAAAAUACGUAAAAAGCCAUCACAAACAUAUUUCUUUAUGGGGCAGAAAAUUUGCAAGAAAACGUUUGUGUUUGCACAUGCCAUUUCAUGCAGUACAUUGCAAAAAAUUGCUAUUUCUCUUGAUAAAGAUGGUAUUUUGCCCAGGGUGCACGGAAACACUGGAAAACUUCCAGCAAAUGCCUUAUGCUUUGAAGAUAGGCAAAAUGUUAAAGAUUUUAUUCAUGAAUACGCUACUGAAAAUGCACUCCCUCUACCAGGACGCCUGCCCAACUGCCCAGAUCGCACAAUGCUGCUCUUGCCUUCUGAUAAAUCAAUUGCACAAGUGCAUGAUUUGUAUAACCAUAGUGCUGAACUGUCCCAUUACAGACAGAUUUCAUUAAAGACAUUUAGAUCACUUUGGAAUGACCUAUGUCCACAAAUUGCGCUGGCAAAGCCAAUGACUGACUUGUGUAUGACAUGUCAAACAUUUGGGUCUAAGUUAAGUCAAACAGGCCAAUUUACUGAUGAACAAAAAAAUGAAAUUGUCAUUAGUUAUAAGUCCCACUUGGAUCUGGCUCACAAGCAAAGAGAACAGUACAGAGAGAUGACAGCGAGUAGCAAGCAAAUUUUCUUAAAUGAAAACUUACAUGAAGGGCCGAGCCUUGUAGCAGAGACAUCUGCUACCACUAUUCAUGGGACUUUGCACAGAAUGUGCAUUACCCCCAUCAUGCACAGCAAGUGGGCCCAAUAUACUUCUGCAGCCCCAGAAAAUGCCAUGUCUUUGGCAUGUGUGCAGAAGGGUCAGGAAAACAAGUGUUCUAUCUAAUCGAUGAAGCAGAACUGCCAGAGAAGGGUGCUGAAAGUGUUGUCAGCUUGGCUCACCAUCAUUUCCAACACUUUGGUGUUGGAGAAAAGCAUGCAGAGAUCCACUUUGAUAAUGCAGUUGGACAAAACAAGAACCACACAGUGAUUUGGUAUGCCAUGUGGCGGACUCUGACAGGUGGUGUAGCCUAGCGAGGAUGGGAAGAUUUCGCUUGUGAGGUGGUCUUCAUUUAACCAGGACUCGGUGCCUACAACAAUAUCAGGGUGGACUCCAUGAAACCAUGAGCCUGAACUGCAUGAUUACUGGACACACCAAGUUUGCCCCAGACUACCACUUUGGUCAUCCAAUGCAGAGACCAUGGAGGAGAUUGCUGGUAGUGUUACAGCUUCAUCAAAGUCAGGCCACAAUGUUCCACAGCUGGUCCAAGAUGACAACAAACCGGUUGUCUUCUUCGCUUGGAAAACUUACCUGGAACAGUUUUUCAAGCCAUUGAAAAACAUAACCAAGUACCACCAUUUUACUAUGGAUCGGUCGAAACCAGGUAUUGUUACCUGUAAGGAGAACAUGGAUUCGGAAGAAAUGUGUUUCAAUAUAUUGAAGCCUUUGAGUCCGGCAGCUGGAGAACUCCCACCCACCAAACCAGCCCCGGGCCUUGACCUGCGCAGACAGUGGUAUUUGUCUGACUCAAUUAGCCCAUUCUUCAGAGCAUACAAUGCCAGGGAUACUGUGUGUCCAAAACCAUCAAAGCCAAAAGUUAAAAACCAAGGAAUGGACAGUGACAGCCUACCUAGAAAAAGGAAGCACAGCCUUUAACCGUUAUCUUAACACCAUGGCAACUAAAGUGUUCCUUCAGCCUUGUAGAAAUACAUCAAGAUUUAUCAAUGUAUUUCAUCCAUUUAAUGUGAGGUUUUACACAUGUAUGUAUGACAGAGAUAAUAUUAAUUUAAAUAUCGGUAGUGUUACAGAUGAAACACAAACAUUGCUGUUAUGUUCAAUAUAAAACUUGCUAUGACAUAUUUUUGACAAAGUGCCAUUAGGUUUGUGGUCUCAUCUUUUUCUAAAUGUAAAUAUUGUUUUAAAUUUUCGUUUUAAAGAUGUGCAUACCAACCUAUUUGAAUGUGUGAUCAUACAUGUGUUUAUAAUGUUUGCCAUUUAUUUGUUGAAAAGAGAUAAUGCCACCUUUAUUCGAUUAUAUAAGGCGGAAAGAAUAACAAUUCAAGUAGUGUUUCCAUAGCAACAGGAAAAUUAUUAAGGUUAUUUAUUAAUAGGUCCAGUUUACAACAACAAAUAAAAAGUAUAUUUAUAUAUACAUUAUACAGUUAUAGGCUUACACUCCAUGGAAUCUUUAAAAAGACUCAUCUUAAUUUGUAUGUUAUGGUGAAAAAAACUUAAUAUUUAACACAUUAUAACAUACUUUAAAAUGUCCAAAUAAUGCAACCCGGUUCAGUAUUGUUACUCUAUGUAUCAAAAUUAAGGCUUUUAAAGCAGGUUCAAUGUAUUUCUCUCCUAACAUAUUUGUUUAAAUACUACAAAAUGUUUAGUUUUAUCAUUUCAACCAUUUAAGGUAUAUUUUUACCACGGUUGCCAUGGCAACCGUUUUAAGAGUUAAUUUGAGAUUGUUAUGGAAUCAUCUUAAAGGAAUAAUAUGUUCUGGGUUGCAGUAGAUUUAUUCCAUUACUUGUUUGUUGGUUUGAAGUUGUUAACAUUGAAUGUUUACAUUAACUUGUAAAUAAAUUAUUUAAAAGUAACAGCUUGAUGUUUCUCAGGUUUCCCAUUUCUUCAGUUGCACCUUAUGUAGGAAAAUCGUCAUAACUUUUUUAUUUUUUGGAUUUGUACGCUCAAAUUUUAGAUUUAGGUUAUUGAAUAGUCCUUUUGUUUGAAACAAUAAAAAUCUCAUUUUGUGAUUCUUGAGCCAGAAUAGUCAUUUUCCCAUUCCCUCUCACAUAUACAGAAAUGUGGAAAGCAUUCCAAUAAAUUCCCUUUAUAAUGAUUUUGUGUAUAUAAAUACUUUUUUUAUGUUUCCCACAUAAUACUGUGGGACAUAUUGUUUUUGCCAUGUCUUUUUUUGUCAAACAAACUUUUAAAUUGGCCAAAACGUUUGCAAUAUUGAAGAUAGCAACUUGCUAUUUGGCAUGCAUGUAUAUUUAAUGGACCUGCACAUUUUGAUUGGUAAAACUUCAAUGUCAAGGUCAUCCUUCAAGGUCAAAAGUAAAAAAUAUAUUGGGGGACAUAGUGUUUCACAAACACAUCUUGAUUUUUGUUUUUUACACUGUUUUCAACAUGUUUCAAUAAAUGUUACAUUACAGCAAUAUAAAGCUGUUACAUUAUCUCUUAGUUGCAGGUUUUACUAAGUUUUGUAUUAAUUUGUACAUGCACUGAAUGCAUUAAUUUUGUUAUUCUACCAUUUUUCUUUCACACUACAUAUACACUAAUUGGAAUACAUAUGCACUUAAAAAACUGUAUUUGUAAAUAAUAAUAAAUUGUACUUUAUUUAUAUAGGGUUAACAGCACAUUACUAGUAUUUAAGUCAUAAUGAAAUGCAAAUUGAUGAUGAAAGAAUACCCCACUUGAUUAAGCAUUGUAAGAUACAAUUAAGGUUGCUUCAGUGAUGUCACAAAUCCAACUUUGGCAUACAAGGAUUAAACAAGAUAUGUUUAAACAAGAAAUACAAUGUCCCCUACUGCGUCGUGUUGAACCCAUAUAUUUGACAUUUUACCUUGAAGGAUGACCUUGACCUAGACAUUUCACCAAUAAAAAUGUGCAGAUCCAUGAUAUACACAUGCAUUCCAAAUAUCAAGUUGCUAUCUUCAAUAUUGCAAAAGUUAUGGCCAAUGUUAAAGUUUUCAGACGGACGGACAUACUGACGGACAGUUCAACUGCUAUAUGACACCCUACCGGGGGCAUACACAUUGUUCAUACAAAGAUUUCAAUCCAUGCAGAUAGAGACCAUGUCACGUCAAGUGCCAAAAACACUUAAAAUAAAUAUUGACAAAAAGGAAAAAUUGCUUUUUUAAAUUAUUUAUACUUUUAUUCCAUUGGUUACAUGUAAGUAUUGGAUUGAAGCAACACUGGAGGCAUUCAAAUUCAUCCAAUUUUGACUUUGUUCAGUGUUGCUUCAAACCAUUGAGAUGGCACUUUCCAUAUAUGCUAUUAUUGUUUUAUGUCAUUUCAUUUAAUUUUGAGAAAAAGCACAUUUCUGAAAGUUGCAUGCCAAUUAACAUAUUAAGUAUUGAUAUAUCAAUUUACCAAAUGACAAAUAAAUAUACCUUUUU
Molecule: RNA transcript, 5015 nt
Organism: Dreissena polymorpha
Lineage: Eukaryota; Metazoa; Mollusca; Bivalvia; Myida; Dreissenidae
Exons: 6
Source: RefSeq, a predicted model, not a curated record